RNAcentral lists this ribosomal RNA (356 nucleotides) under uncultured bacterium. Its description in RNAcentral is "bacterial SSU rRNA". It matches the Rfam family "Bacterial small subunit ribosomal RNA", at positions 29 to 412 of the family's 1533-position model. The record is from RNAcentral.
AGCGAACGCUGGCGGCAGGCCUAAUACAUGCAAGUCGAACGGAUCCUUCGGGAUUAGUGGCGGACGGGUGAGUAACACGUGGGAACGUGCCCUUUGGUUCGGAACAACUCAGGGAAACUUGAGCUAAUACCGGAUAAGCCCUUCGGGGAAGGAUUAUCGCCAUUGGAGCGGCCCGCGUCUGAUUAGCUAGUUGGUGGGGUAAAGGCCGUACCAAGGCGACGAUCAGUAGCUGGUCUGAGAGGAUGAUCAGCCACACUGGGACUGAGACACCGGCCCAGACUCCUACGGGAGGCAGCAGUAGGGAAUCUUGCGCAAUGGGCGAAAGCCUGACGCAGCCAUGCCGCGUGAAUGAUGAA